AGGAUUAUAUCAUUUUCCUCUUUUUAAAAAGAAUUUGUACUCAAAUAUGGCAUCCCUCUUGAACAUAUGAUCAGUCCACAAAUCUGACUCUACAUCCACUACUAAAAAUUCGACCUAUAACGACGUUCAAGACAGAACCAUCAUAAGGGUGUCUAUAGCGACGGUUAAAGGUUGACCGACGGUAUAUGUAUUUAAAGAUAGUUUAUUCGAAGGGUCAUAAUCUGGUCACCGGGAUAGAGCUUUUUUUGGGGACUUUCAUCUAUAAGCGGGCGCACAAAUCCCUCGCAUUUUCCCCCAAAUUCGUAUCAACAUUUUUCCCCCAAGUCAAGUUUUUUUACAAUCAACUCUCACUCGCUCGAUCACUCAAUUGGUCACCUUCUUAAUCGAUCGUUCUCAUCUGCUUUCCUUCUCACUCAAUCGUUCUCAUUUGCACACCUUCUCACUCGAUCGUAGGCCGUAGGUAUCGCACGCCACUUUUCUAUCCAAUUUCCNNNN
This 495-nucleotide long non-coding RNA is filed under the name Panax ginseng (ginseng). RNAcentral's name for it is "long non-coding RNA (PGIN_LNC001057)". Lineage: Eukaryota; Viridiplantae; Streptophyta; Magnoliopsida; Apiales; Araliaceae. The record is from RNAcentral.